AAAGAAAGAAAGAAAAGACAGGCAAUGUAAGGCACCGUGAUGGCUGAGAGGUGAAAAUGCUAUUUCUUCAGAUGAGUAUGGGCUACUGGUGAGAGGCAGUGUGGACUCAGCAACCAUGGGGAGUUAGGUUGCUCCUUCCUUACUCUCAAGCCAAAAUGGAGUUUGGCUUUGGGGAGCAAGCAGGACACACAGGAGGGGUGAGCCAGCCCAACUUGGGGGUGUGUUGGUGCCUUCAUUCUCCUUUUACAUUCCCAAGGAAGAGCUGGGCUGACAGGAGAGGCAGCACUCCAUCCAGCAGGCCCUGUCUGCUCAGCAUCCCAGAACCCCGGGAGCAGGGGUGACCUGGACAUGCCUGAAAGCCCCACAGAGCUUGAGGCCGCAAACUCCUGGAUCUCAAAGACCAAGAUGAGUGGACACAGACCACCCCAGGGAUCCCUAAACAAGAUCUUGGAACAUGUUCAGCCCGGGCAAGACCAAGAAAAGCAGGCCCGGGCAGCCAUUGAAACAUCUCACCAGGACAGGGACAGAUUUGCAUUUUGAAAAGAUCCUGGCUAGCCGUGGAUGGACUGGGUGUGGAGGCUGCUGCAGUGAUGCAGGUGUAUACACAAGAGGACUGAAAGCAUACACAGAAACAUGUACAUGGAUGUUCACAGCAGCAUUAUUCAUAACCAAAACGUGGAAACAACCCAAAUG
Long non-coding RNA from Myotis davidii, 693 nucleotides. RefSeq lists it as uncharacterized. Lineage: Eukaryota; Metazoa; Chordata; Mammalia; Chiroptera; Vespertilionidae. The transcript is spliced from 3 exons. The record is from RefSeq and is a predicted model, not a curated record.